UACAGAGGGGGCAAGCGUUGUUCGGAAUUACUGGGCGUAAAGGGCGCGUAGGCGGCCUUCUAAGUCGAACGUGAAAUCCCCGGGCUUAACCUGGGAACUGCGUUUCUAACUGGCAGGCUUGAGUGUGGCAGAGGGGGGUGGAAUUCCGACGUGUAGCAGUGAAAUGCGCAGAUAUCGGGAGGAACGACCGUGUGGCCGAAGG
RNAcentral lists this ribosomal RNA (202 nucleotides) under uncultured bacterium. Its description in RNAcentral is "partial 16S ribosomal RNA". It matches the Rfam family "Bacterial small subunit ribosomal RNA", at positions 524 to 721 of the family's 1533-position model. The record is from RNAcentral.